AAUCACUUUCUAGAAAAAAACAGCGAUGAACCAAAAACACGAAAUCUGGACAAUGACAGUGUCAAGUGCAAGGAUUCAGCCCCUCGAGUUCUGCCAAAAGAAGGCACUUACAUACAAUGUCAAUAUGACAAUGGUACAACACUUACCCAAGUAACUUACACAGUCAGAUCAACGAUUCACUCAUUCUGUAGGCUUGUGGCCAGAGUGCACUUCGCACAAAGGUCUGAGACUUCAGGGAGUAUAUUCCUGCCCCUCUACCCUCCUCCAAAUAUAAAUAAUAUGGCUUUUGCAUGACAUGGUUCAAGUCCAUGACGUGUUGCGUCUUUACAAUUGAACUGAUUCUCCGGGUCCUAGGGGUCUCUUAUAAUAAUAUCUUUAUCUGUCCUGCUGAGACUUCAGGGAGUAUAUUCCUGCCCCUCUACCCUCCUCCAAAUAUAAAUAAUAUGGCUUUUGCAUGACAUGGUUCAAGUCCAUGACGUGUUGCGUCUUUACAAUUGAACUGAUUCUCCGGGUCCUAGGGGUCUCUUAUAAUAAUAUCUUUAUCUGUCCUG
Molecule: unclassified non-coding RNA, 551 nt
Filed under: Hevea brasiliensis (rubber tree)
Lineage: Eukaryota; Viridiplantae; Streptophyta; Magnoliopsida; Malpighiales; Euphorbiaceae
Source: RNAcentral